AGUGAACGCUGGCGGUAGGCCUAACACAUGCAAGUCGAACGGCAGCACAGAGGAGCUUGCUCCUUGGGUGGCGAGUGGCGGACGGGUGAGGAAUACAUCGGAAUCUACUCUGUCGUGGGGGGUAACGUAGGGAAACUUACGCUAAUACCGCAUACGACCUACGGGUGAAAGCAGGGGACCUUCGGGCCUUGCGCGAUUGAAUGAGCCGAUGUCGGAUUAGCUAGUUGGCGGGGUAAAGGCCCACCAAGGCGACGAUCCGUAGCUGGUCUGAGAGGAUGGUCAGCCACACUGGAACUGAGACACGGUCCAGACUCCUACGGGAGGCAGCAGUGGGGAAUAUUGGACAAUGGGCGCAAGCCUGAUCCAGCCAUACCGCGUGGGUGAAGAAGGCCUUCGGGUUGUAAAGCCCUUUUGUUGGGAAAGAAAUCCAGCUGGUUAAUACCCGGUUGGGAUGACGGUACCCAAAGAAUAAGCACCGGCUAACUUCGUGCCAGCAGCCGCAGUAA
Molecule: ribosomal RNA, 506 nt
Filed under: uncultured bacterium
Lineage: Bacteria
Description: partial 16S ribosomal RNA
Rfam family: Bacterial small subunit ribosomal RNA
Source: RNAcentral